GUGGAUUAGAUACCCUGGUAGUCCACGCCGUAAACGAUGGAUACUAGCUGUUGGGGGCGACCUCAGUGGCUAAGCGAAAGUGAUAAGUAUCCCACCUGGGGAGUACGAACGCAAGUUUGAAACUCAAAGGAAUUGACGGGGGCCCGCACAAGCGGUGGAGCAUGUGGUUUAAUUCGAUGAUACGCGAGGAACCUUACCAAGGCUUAAAUGCAGACUGACCGUUUUGGAAACAGAACUUUCGCAAGACAGUCUACAAGGUGCUGCACGGUUGUCGACAGCU
This 280-nucleotide ribosomal RNA is filed under the name uncultured bacterium. RNAcentral's name for it is "partial 16S ribosomal RNA". It matches the Rfam family "Bacterial small subunit ribosomal RNA", at positions 773 to 1060 of the family's 1533-position model. The record is from RNAcentral.